AUCUGGAAAGUGUCAUGUAUUUAGCCUUAGUGGACACAUAAUUGGGACUUGCAGUUGCAUGCCAUGGCAUUUAUUCCCUUGAAGGUAACUGCAUUAGAUCGUUAUAUCAACAAUCUGGACAGAAUCGAAGCUUAGUCACAGGUUGAAUUUCUGCUAGUCUAUAGUGCAAUGAUUCAUCUGGGCAUUGUAACAAAAUCCAUGCCUUUUUUUUUUUUAAGACUAAACCACGACUGUGAUUAAUUCUAUGUUGUGGAUCCCAAGGAACAAUUAUGAAGGAACAAGAGACUAGGCCCGGGAGAAACAAAAAUAAGUUGGCCACGGAAUAUGGUUCCAGAUAAUUCGUUAACAAGCAGAAAAUCAAAUAGUCAUUGUGCUUUCUGGACCAAUAUAAUGAUGGAGAUUAGAUUAAAAUCCAAUCUUCAUUUUAUUUUUUCUCCCACUACAAAAUUAACAAAAAUUGUAAUGGAUCAUAUAUUUAUUUGGUUGUUUAUCCUCUUCAGAGAUUUUGUGGGAGCGUAACAAAAAGGAAGCUACUUUUGAAGACAAAUUCAAAGGUGAUUUGAAAAAUGCAACAAUGUGUCUUUUAAACUUUAAAAGUGUAUAGCUCCUGAAGUUCUUCAAGUCAAAUUUCCAUCUCCUCACCCCUGUGGUGGGAGUGGUAGGCAUGUCUUAUAAUUUUUUGUGUACAUUUUGUACAGGGAGACAUGAAAAUAGACACAGGGGUGAAGUAUAAGUUAAAAUCUACUGUACCUUUUACUUUUCCAAGUGAAAAUAUUAAACUGUAUGUGCAGUGGCUUCCUGGGAGAAAUGGUGACUCUGAAUUAGUUAGCAGUGAUGACCUCUUUAUUAUGGUUUCCCCCUUCUCUGAGAUCUAUGCCACUUUCACGUGGCUUUGCUGCCAGACGUCUGAGCCUGACAUCACCCUGAUUGAAAUGUGCUACUUAAAGCUUGUUAUAUGGAACCCAGUUCAUUAGGCUGUGCCAGGAUGCUGUACCAGCUAAGAACAAGCUCAAAAAAUAAACACACACCUCAUUUUGUAUUUAAAGCCCUUUGGAAUGCUUAUUGGGAGGCAGAGAAAUUUUCGUACAGCAUUGACAGAGCUGAGAACACUAAUGACAGCAGCCUUGCUAAGUGCAGAAAUUCUAUGCAUCCAGCCGUUUUGUUGUAUAUUAAGCAAAAUUUGUGGCUGGCAACCUUUCUUCAAGGGAUCCCUGUGAAAAGCGCUUCUUGCAUUCAAUUUUUGCCUUUCGAUGAUUAAAAAGCCAUUGGAAACUAGUAUAAAUAUCUCCAUCAUUUAAAAGCUUGCUCUUCUUUAGGACUGUCCUCAGAAGGAAACCCAAGUCAUAAAUGCAUACAAAUGGAGACAGUGUGCGACCAUCAGUGUUAAACAGCUAGUGGGUAGACUUCACUGAUCUGCCUAAAGCGAUCUGAAAACCUUUACCACUGUUAAGACAAAAUGAUGUUUUUCUAGAUCCUUCCUGGCAUCAACACAGAGUUCCACUGCCUGACGGAAGUGAAAGUUCAGGGAACUUGUUAGAUGCUUGUUAGAAGUUGCACUAGUAGUACCUCCCUGGCUUGUGUGGGGAGCUUUGUGGAAACAGACAAAUGAUUGGGGGGAGGGGGGAGCAUGCAAUGACAUAAACAAAAGAUGAAAUCAAAAUAAUAUUUUCCUUGUGGGCAAGUGACUGGUGAGUUUCUCUGGGUUAUUAGGUUUUGGUGUAUAUGUGUGUGUAGAGGUGGGGGAUGUUGGCUGGUUGUUGGCAGUUAUGAAAUAAGACCAGAGUGCUUCAGUAACUAUAGGCUGGCUAUGCACACACGUUGGUUGUCACACAGAUUUGAUCCUUCCCUCUUGCCUUACAUCCCCAUACUGUCUAUCACUGAUUUUUGCCUAUCCAUCAUCCUGAUUCUAGAGGCCAAAGAUUCCUGUGUGUUCAACUGACCUUCAACUGACUCAGCAAAACAGUUUGAAGGUAAUGCAGAUGGGAAAUGGGCCAAAUGUAAACCAGGAAUUCAAAAGUACUUAAGUACUAUUUAUUGGUCACUGAACAAACAAAUGAACACUGGUGGAUCUUUCACAUACAUGGGCUUCCAGGAGAGCAGAAAAUGGGACCCUAGUUGUACUCACUAUGGAAGCGAAUGCCUUAAAAGUAAGGUGUGAGGGGCUAGGGAGUGGCUUACUGAUUUUAGAGUGCCUACUGUUCCUUCAGAGGACCUGAAAUUGGUUCCUAGUGCCCAUGUCCGGUGGCCCACAGUGCCUCUUUAAGACUCCAAGAGUAACUGCACUUGCAUGUGUACAGACCUAUCCAUACAUGCACGCACACACACACACACACACACAAAAUAAAUAUUUUUUAAAACCAUGCUAUGAACACCCAGCUCGGAUAAGGAUACUGGCAUAACUAUUCACUACUCUGUCCUUCACAGCCUGUUCUGACGGUAAAGAACAAAGCAAGCCAAGUCUCACUUUUCCUGAACAGAAAAAGAGGGAGCUGUAAUAAUAGCAGCUAACUAAUAUUUAUCAUUUUUAUCUGUAACCCCCAAUAGCUGUCUCAAAUAAAUAUAAUUCCCAAUUUGCAGAUAAGAAAAUCUAAGGCAGGAAAAAAAUAAUAAUAAUGUGCUAAGUUACCAAAAUCUACAUAAGCAGUAAGUAUCACACAUUUAGUGAAGGCGGAGCUAAGAUUCAGUCCUAGAUGGUCUGGAUCCAGUCUGAGUUCAGAACCAGGGUGUCCUACAUGCCCUCCUGCUGGAUCCCAGGCUCUAUGCUAAGCAGGCAACCAAGUGUUCAAGAUUAACUGUGAUUGUUGCCUGCAAGAAUGCAUUAAGCAGGCUAAGAAAAGACUACGCAUCUUUCUCCCCUUUAUGUCUUCUUUUCAGUUUUUCACAUGUGUUUGUCUGUGUGUCUGUGUCUUUGUGGAGAUCGGAAGACAGCUUGCAAGAGUUGAUUCACUCCUCUAAGAUCUUCAUGGUCCCUGAGCCCUCUUACCAGCCCUGUUUUGUUAUUUGUUGGUUGUUUGGUUGGUUGGUUCUUUAAAUCUCUCUCUCUUUG
This 3046-nucleotide long non-coding RNA is filed under the name Mus musculus (house mouse). Its description in RNAcentral is "long non-coding RNA chr8:36513524-36516570". The record is from RNAcentral. Lineage: Eukaryota; Metazoa; Chordata; Mammalia; Rodentia; Muridae.